Molecule: long non-coding RNA, 308 nt
Organism: Saccostrea echinata
Lineage: Eukaryota; Metazoa; Mollusca; Bivalvia; Ostreida; Ostreidae
Exons: 4
Source: RefSeq, a predicted model, not a curated record
AUUUCCAGGGACUCGGACAAGGGACGACGCGAAAGGACCCAGCCGCCCAGCCAACAGAUGAAGAGGACCCAUUGCCCAGCUAUGUCUAGCGGCCAACAUUGGCCAAAGCGGAGCGUCGAUCCCACUGAGACGUACAGCAGCAUUCUGGGGAGCAGGGAUCGACUGCGACCGCACAUCUAAGAGAGGAGAUGCCGUGUGAUGCAGCCCUCUAUCCCCAGCGCUGUGAAGAGGAGACUGCCAACCCAAGGAUGGUACUGGGUUGGACUGGUCUGCUUGUGUGGAAGAAGAGCAGACCGUCACCUGCGGGC